AUUGCUUCUCAGCCUUUUGGCUAAGUUCAAGUGAAGUAUCUGUUCUUAUCAGUUUAAUAUAGGACACACAUGGAAAUAUGUCAUUCUCAGUUUGAUUUAUAUUUUACCUUGGGACAGUGUUCUCCAGCUCCAUCCAUUUUCCUUAAAUUGACACAAUUGCAUUUUUCUUUAUGACCUAAUAAUAAUAU
Molecule: small nuclear RNA, 188 nt
Organism: Dipodomys spectabilis (banner-tailed kangaroo rat)
Lineage: Eukaryota; Metazoa; Chordata; Mammalia; Rodentia; Heteromyidae
Product: U2 spliceosomal RNA
Exons: 1
Source: RefSeq, a predicted model, not a curated record